RNAcentral lists this long non-coding RNA (344 nucleotides) under Mytilus galloprovincialis (Mediterranean mussel). Lineage: Eukaryota; Metazoa; Mollusca; Bivalvia; Mytilida; Mytilidae. The record is from RNAcentral.
UCUUCAACUUUAUCUGAAACCCUAUGUUGGUUAUAUCUUUAAGAUUGUCCCCUGUGUUUAAAAGCAAAAUUAUUUCAUCUGGCAAGGAAUCUGAAAGUAUUUAAUGAUAAUUUGUCUAUAUUUUUUUAAUUUUUUUUAUCAAACAAAGGAUCCUUAAAUUAUUCAUAAUCCCUGAAAUUAUAUUAGGGGAUUUGUAGAAUAAUUAUUAAAAUGUUCAGUGAUUAUGUAAAAUCACUAGUCAUUUUUAGGGAUUAUAUAUAAUUACUAAUGAUUUUAGUGAUUCUACAUAUUCCCUGAAAAAUCAGGGAUUCUACAUAAUCACUGAUUAUACAAAUUCACUGUAA